GCUUAUAAUGCAAGUCGAGCGAAUGACGAGGAGCUUGCUCCUCUGAUUUAGCGGCGGACGGGUGAGUAACACGUGGGUAAUCUGCCUGUAAGACGGGGAUAACUCCGGGAAACCGGGGCUAAUACCGGAUAAUAAGAAAAAAAGCAUUUUUUUUUUUUGAAAGUCGGUUUCGGCUGACACUUACAGAUGAGCCCGCGGCGCAUUAGCUAGUUGGUGAGGUAACGGCUCACCAAGGCGACGAUGCGUAGCCGACCUGAGAGGGUGAUCGGCCACACUGGGACUGAGACACGGCCCAGACUCCUACGGGAGGCAGCAGUAGGGAAUCUUCGGCAAUGGGCGAAAGCCUGACCGAGCAACGCCGCGUGAGCGAUGAAGGCCUUCGGGUCGUAAAGCUCUGUUGUUAGAGAAGAACAAGUACGAGAGUAACUGCUCGUACCUUGACGGUACCUAACCAGAAAGCCACGGCUAACUACGUGCCAGCAGCCGCGGUAAUACGUAGGUGGCAAGCGUUAUCCGGAAUUAUUGGGCGUAAAGCGCGCGCAGGCGGUCUCUUAAGUCUGAUGUGAAAGCCCACGGCUCAACCGUGGAGGGUCAUUGGAAACUGGGAGACUUGAGUGCAGGAGAGAAAAGUGGAAUUCCACGUGUAGCGGUGAAAUGCGUAGAGAUGUGGAGGAACACCAGUGGCGAAGGCGGCUUUUUGGCCUGUAACUGACGCUGAGGCGCGAAAGCGUGGGGAGCAAACAGGAUUAGAUACCCUGGUAGUCCACGCCGUAAACGAUGAGUGCUAGGUGUUGGGGGGUUCCACCCUCAGUGCUGAAGUUAACACAUUAAGCACUCCGCCUGGGGAGUACGACCGCAAGGUUGAAACUCAAAGGAAUUGACGGGGGCCCGCACAAGCAGUGGAGCAUGUGGUUUAAUUCGAAGCAACGCGAAGAACCUUACCAGGUCUUGACAUCCUCUGACUACUCUAGAGAUAGAGCUUUCCCCUUCGGGGACAGAGUGACAGGUGGUGCAUGAUUGUCGUCAGCUCGUGUCGUGAGAUGUGGGUUAAGUCCCGCAACGAGCGCAACCCUUUGACCUUAGUUGCCAGCAUCCAGUUUGAC
RNAcentral lists this ribosomal RNA (1103 nucleotides) under Bacillus sp. (in: firmicutes). RNAcentral's name for it is "bacterial SSU rRNA". It matches the Rfam family "Bacterial small subunit ribosomal RNA", at positions 46 to 1133 of the family's 1533-position model. The record is from RNAcentral. Lineage: Bacteria; Bacillati; Bacillota; Bacilli; Caryophanales; Bacillaceae.